CUGUUUUCUACGGUGCAGCAAAACGUGACUUCAAAGGAGCGACCUCAUCGGGAAACAUACUCCCGUUUAUCAAUUUAACGUUGGUAACGUUAACUUGCACUGCACUUUCUACGACGUCACGUUUCACUUAGCGCUAUCACAUUCGAUGUUAACGUUAGUUAACCGAAACAGGUAUUAACUUAUUUAACAGAUGGCUAGUUAGCUGUUAACGUGCAUCUGCAUGGGUUAUUUGAAGUUUGACUGAUUGCUUUUGUUGUUUCUUUUGCAGCUUUGCAGAACACAUGUAAAUGGAAGUGUUGGCCAGCAACUUCAGGAAUAUCUGCAACAAGUCACUACAGCAAGUGCAGAUGUUACUGGGAUGCAAACAGCAGUCCUCCGUGGCCUUCCUGUCAUCUUGGAGAUGAGAACACAGACUUCUUUUAGACAUGCUUUGUUCGUCCUACGGGGGGGUCUCGGAAUGACGAGAAUGCAGCGGUCUGUUUCUACCUUUAAGUAGGAGAAAGCCGGCGACAGCGGGAAACCCUGCCCGCCACCACACUCCUGUAUCGCUCUUUUGCUGUUUUCAUGUAGCAACGGAGUUAACGUUACUUCUUGCUGUGAGUUUUACCCAGCAUGUAGUUCGGCGGGGUAAAUUUGUACAUGUGAUUAGUGUUAAAAAAUGGUUUAUGUGUCAGAAGCUGUUGUGUCGUGAUGUUUUUCCACGUGAAAGAGUGUUUGUUGUGGGUUAUCCAUUGUUGUUCUAAAGUUAUAACCAUGACUCAAUCUCAACACACUUAAGAGAAGUAGCUCCGAGCUCGCCGCACCGCGAUGACGUGUAAAAAUAAAUUCUGGCGCCUGCCAAAGAGCAAUGUCAGUUGUUACGGCGUAACACCAGUACGAACAGUAUGAGGGAAAUUCAUACCGUACGGAAUUCUUCUAUCGAUGAACCGAGAUACCGUGCAGCUCUACUGACAAGGGCUUGUUUGUAUACCUCUGGGAAAGGUUUUGGAAGUUUAGGAUAGUGUGAUAGUGUCAGGGUAGAAUGCAAACAGUGUAUGGUCUAUGAAAAGUUCAAGUCACGUAGGACCCUACACACACAACAUAUGAAGGCCUGCAUAUAAUAACAGUGAUACA
Gasterosteus aculeatus aculeatus (three-spined stickleback) is the source of this 1113-nucleotide long non-coding RNA. RefSeq lists it as uncharacterized. Lineage: Eukaryota; Metazoa; Chordata; Actinopteri; Perciformes; Gasterosteidae. The record is from RefSeq and is a predicted model, not a curated record.